UACGUAGGGGGCUAGCGUUGUUCGGAUUCAUUGGGCGUAAAGGGUGCGUAGGCGGCGCGGUAAGUCGGGUGUGAAAUCUCGGAGCUUAACUCCGAAACUGCAUUCGAUACUGCCGUGCUUGAGGACUGGAGAGGAGACUGGAAUUUACGGUGUAGCGGUGAAAUGCGUAGAUAUCGUAAGGAACACCAGUGGCGAAGGCGGCACUCUGGGCCGGAACUGACGCUGAGGAGCGAAAGCGUGGGGAGCGAACAGG
This 253-nucleotide ribosomal RNA is filed under the name uncultured bacterium. RNAcentral describes it as "partial 16S ribosomal RNA". It matches the Rfam family "Bacterial small subunit ribosomal RNA", at positions 524 to 776 of the family's 1533-position model. The record is from RNAcentral.